AUUAUGUAGGAACUAGUUGUGAGGAAGCCUCGCCCCUAGAAAAUUAUAUACAUAAAACUUUGAUAAUGCGGGUGUCUUAGCUAUUGUUUUGAAAGAUAGUCGUUCGUUCUUGGGGAAGUCGUCUAGCGUCACCUAAGCUCUUUGCCGGCGGUCAUCUCCAAGCAAAAGACUCGAGUUUAAACGGCCUUUAAGAGCUGUUGUAUGACUCAAUUAAAUCCCACGUCUCAUCUCCUCGAUAUAACAUGUUGAACAGGGGGGAAUUGGUAUGUACGUACAAUGUGAAUUGAUGAAUAAGGAAAGCCAAGUUUGGCAACCAAAUUUCGUAUAAAA
Juglans microcarpa x Juglans regia is the source of this 330-nucleotide long non-coding RNA. RefSeq lists it as uncharacterized. NCBI's taxonomy places the organism in Eukaryota, Viridiplantae, Streptophyta, Magnoliopsida, Fagales, Juglandaceae. The transcript has 2 exons. The record is from RefSeq and is a predicted model, not a curated record.